GACGAACGCUGGCGGCGUGCCUAAUACAUGCAAGUCGAACGCUGAAUUGAGGUGCUGGCUCUUCUGGGAGGAUUUGCGAACGGGGGAGUAACGCGUAUGUAAAAUGCCUUCUAGCGGGUGGGAACAAUUGGAAACGAGACCUAUUACGGCAUAACAUUGCAUGACACAUGUCAUUUAUUUGAAAGGAGCUAUUUCUCCAGUACAAGAUGGACCUGCGUUGUAUUAGCUAGUAGGUGAGGUAAGGGCUUACCUAGGCGGCGAUGCAUAGCCGACCUGAGAGGGUGAUCGGCUACACUGUGACUGAGGCACGGCCCAGACUCCUAGGGGAGGAAGCAGUAGGGAAUCUUCGGCAAUGGGGGCAAGCCUGACCGAGGAACGCCGCGGGAGUGCAGAAGGUGUUCGGAUCCUAAAGUUAUGUUGUCAGUCAAGAACGAGUGUGAGAGUGGAAAGUUAAAUCGGGACCGGAAGCGUACAAGAAAGGGAGGGUAAACUACGG
This 496-nucleotide ribosomal RNA is filed under the name uncultured bacterium. Its description in RNAcentral is "partial 16S ribosomal RNA". It matches the Rfam family "Bacterial small subunit ribosomal RNA", at positions 28 to 506 of the family's 1533-position model. The record is from RNAcentral.